AUUGAACGCUGGCGGAAUGCUUUACACAUGCAAGUCGAACGGCAGCACGGACUUCGGUCUGGUGGCGAGUGGCGAACGAGUGAGUAAUAUACCGGAACGUGCCCAGUCGUGGGGGAUAACGUAGCGAAAGCUACGCUAAUACCGCAUACGAUCUACGGAUGAAAGCGGGGGAUCGCAAGACCUCGCGCGAUUGGGGCGGCCGAUAUCAGAUUAGGUAGUUGGUGAGGUAAAGGCUCACCAAGCCGACGAUCUGUAGCUGGUCUGAGAGGACGACCAGCCACACUGGGACUGAGACACGGCCCAGACUCCUACGGGAGGCAGCAGUGGGGAAUUUUGGACAAUGGACGCAAGUCUGAUCCAGCCAUUCCGCGUGCAGGACGAAGGCCUUCGGGUUGUAAACUGCUUUUGUACAGAACGAAAAGGUCUCUAUUAAUACUAGGGGCUCACGACGGUACUGUAAGAAUAAGCACCGGCUAACUACGUGCCAGCCGCCGCGGUAA
This 500-nucleotide ribosomal RNA is filed under the name uncultured bacterium. RNAcentral describes it as "partial 16S ribosomal RNA". It matches the Rfam family "Bacterial small subunit ribosomal RNA", at positions 30 to 523 of the family's 1533-position model. The record is from RNAcentral.